Molecule: small nucleolar RNA, 145 nt
Organism: Camellia sinensis
Lineage: Eukaryota; Viridiplantae; Streptophyta; Magnoliopsida; Ericales; Theaceae
Source: RefSeq, a predicted model, not a curated record
ACCCCAUUAAAAAAAAGUUGUAAGUCAAAAACAGAGUGCUUAAUCUGAUUUAUGGGAGGCCAAGAGCAAGCUCUGUGGAAGUUUCGCUGAUAACGCCUCUUCUCUUUUCUAAGAAGGCGUUUACUAGUAGCUUUUCCAUACGUUU